GUGCCAGCCGCCGCGGUAAUACCGGCAGCUCAAGUGAUGUCCCAUAUUAUUGGGCCUAAAGCGUCCGUAGCUGGCCGACCAAGUCUCCCGGGAAAUCCACCCGCCCAACGGGUGGGCGUCCGGUAGAAACUGGCCGGCUUGGAACCGGAAGGCUCAGAGAGUACGUCCGGGGUAGGAGUGAAAUCCCAUAAUCCCGCACGGACCACCGAUGGCGAAAGCACUUCGAGAAAACGGACCCGACAGUGAGGGACGAAAGCUGGGAUCUCGAACCGGAUUAGAUACCCGGGUAGUCC
This 293-nucleotide ribosomal RNA is filed under the name uncultured bacterium. Its description in RNAcentral is "partial 16S ribosomal RNA". It matches the Rfam family "Archaeal small subunit ribosomal RNA", at positions 455 to 747 of the family's 1478-position model. The record is from RNAcentral.